RNAcentral lists this ribosomal RNA (1142 nucleotides) under uncultured organism. Its description in RNAcentral is "bacterial SSU rRNA". It matches the Rfam family "Bacterial small subunit ribosomal RNA", at positions 197 to 1343 of the family's 1533-position model. The record is from RNAcentral.
GAAGCUAAAGGAUUUAUUCACUUCCCGAGGGGCUCGCGGCCCAUCAGCUUGUUGGUGAGGGUAACGGCCCACCAAGGCGACAACGGGUAGCUGGUCUGAGAGGAUGGUCAGCCACACUGGAACUGAGACACGGUCCAGACACCUACGGGUGGCAGCAGUCGAGAAUCAUUCGCAAUGGGGGAAACCCUGACGAUGCGACGCCGCGUGGAGGAUGAAGGCCUUAGGGUUGUAAACUCCUGUCAAGAGGGAAUAAGCAAGUGAAGGUACCUCUAGAGGAAGGGGCGGCUAAUUCCGUGCCAGCAGCCGCGGUAACACGGAAGCCCCGAGCGUUGUUCGGAUUCAUUGGGCGUAAAGGGUGCGUAGGCGGCGCGGAAAGUCCGGCGUGAAAGGCAGGGGCUCAACCUCUGGACUGCGUUGGAUACUUCCGUGCUUGAGGACUGGAGGGGAGACUGGAAUUCACGGUGUAGCAGUGAAAUGCGUAGAUAUCGUGAGGAAGACCGGUGGCGAAGGCGAGUCUCUGGACAGAUCCUGACGCUGAGGCACGAAGGCUGGGGGAGCGAACAGGAUUAGAUACCCAGGUAGUCCCAGCAGUAGACGAUGUGAGCUUGAUGUGGGGGGAUUCGACCCCUUCCGUGUCGAAGCUAACGCGAUAAGCUCACCGCCUGAGGAGUACGGCCGCAAGGCUAAAACUCAAAGAAAUUGACGGGGACCCGCACAAGCGGUGGAGUAUGUGGCUUAAUUCGAUGCAACGCGAAGAACCUUACCUGGCCUUGACAUGCAUUGUGUCGUCGGUGAAAGCCGGCUAGUCCUGGAAACAGGACGCUUUGCACAGGUGCUGCAUGGCUGUCGUCAGCUCGUGUCGUGAGAUGUUGGGUUAAGUCCCGCAACGAGCGCAACCCUUGUGGUCAGUUACUAACCGGCUUAGCCGGAGGACUCUGGCCAGACUGCCCUGUCAAACGGGGAGGAAGGUGGGGACGACGUCAAGUCAGUAUGGCCCUUAUGGCCAGGGCUGCACACGUACUACAAUGCCCGGUACAAUGUGAACCGAAACCGCGAGGUGGAGGAAAUCGCUCUUGAAAACCGGGCCCAGUUCGGAUUGGAGUCUGCAACUCGACUCCAUGAAGUCGGAAUCGCUAGUAAUG